GCACAUGGCAUGUGGCUAAUGCGUUUGCAUCCUCCAAACAAACACAAUUGAGCACAGAAAUAGCACACAGAGAGGAAACUGUAAAACUAUUGAAUUUUAUAAUAUUUAAACCUCUCAGAGAUCCGUAUUCCCUGGCUCUGUUGCUCCUCCUCACAUGGCUGGCAGAGUCUGAGACGUUAGCCUCCAUGUUGAAAUUCAAGAGACAUACCAUGUCAUGGAAGCUGAAUCCAAAAGAAACCUCCCCAAGUCUACAGCUCUUCAACAUGGAUGAAAAUGCCGGAGAAUAGUUCAAAUCCUUAAAAGCAGGACCUCCAUAUCAGACAUGUCUGGGAAAGCAAUGUCAUGCCUGGAGCACACUUUUUCAG
This 365-nucleotide long non-coding RNA is filed under the name Mus spicilegus (steppe mouse). Its description in RNAcentral is "lncRNA (ENSMSIG00000012618.1)". Lineage: Eukaryota; Metazoa; Chordata; Mammalia; Rodentia; Muridae. The record is from RNAcentral.